This 484-nucleotide ribosomal RNA is filed under the name uncultured bacterium. Its description in RNAcentral is "partial 16S ribosomal RNA". It matches the Rfam family "Bacterial small subunit ribosomal RNA", at positions 30 to 507 of the family's 1533-position model. The record is from RNAcentral.
AUUGAACGCUGGCGGCAUGCUUUACACAUGCAAGUCGAACGGCAGCGCGGGCUUCGUCCUGGCGGCGAGUGGCGAACGGGUGUGUAAUGCAUCGGAACGUGCCCAGUAGUUGGGGAUAGCCCCGCGAAAGCCGUCUUAAUACCGCCUACGACCUGAGGGUGAUAGCGGGGGACCUUUAGGCCUCCCGCUCUUUUAUCUGCCGAUGUCGGUUUUGCUAGUUGGUGGGGUAAAGGCUUACCAAGGCGACGAUCCGUAGCUGGUCUGAGAGGACGACCAGCCACACUGGGACUGAGACACGGCCCAGACUCCUACGGGAGGCAGCAGUGGGGAAUGUUGGACAAUGGGGGCAAGCCUGAUCCAGCAAUGCCGCGUGCGGGAAGAAGGCCUUCGGGUUGUAAACCGCUUUUGGUCGGGAAGAAAACCUGUGGGAUAAUACCCCGGGGGGAUGACGGUACCGGAAGAAUAAGCACCGGCUAACUACGUG